Molecule: unclassified non-coding RNA, 300 nt
Filed under: uncultured fungus
Lineage: Eukaryota; Fungi
Description: sequence contains 5.8S rRNA gene, ITS2
Rfam family: 5.8S ribosomal RNA (bases 1-71)
Source: RNAcentral
GUGAAUCAUCGAAUCUUUGAACGCACAUUGCGCUCUCUGGUAUUCCGGAGAGCAUGCCCGUUUCAGAAUCAGCAAAUCAUCCUCAAUCCUCCCCAGGCGUUUGUUCGCUCGGGGACGGUUGGACUUUGGACGUGUCGUUUCUCCUUCCAGGCAACUGGGAAAGCGAAACUCGUCUCAAAUUGAUGGGAAAUGCUGGGGUCACCGCUCAACGGACCUUGCAAAGCAGCAACAGUGAUCGUCAUUGAUUUUGUUACUCUCUUUGCACUCGGGCCGCAGGUACCUCGUCUUACAAGGCCUUUC